CCUACGGGGGGCAGCAGUGGGGAAUAUUGCGCAAUGGGCGAAAGCCUGACGCAGCGACGCCGCGUGAGGGAUGAAGGUCUUCGGAUCGUAAACCUCUGUCAGCAGGGAAGAGCGGUCACUGUGCUAAUCAGCAGUGAAUUGACGGUACCUGCAAAGGAAGCACCGGCUAACUCCGUGCCAGCAGCCGCGGUAAUACGGAGGAUGCGAGCGUGAAUCGGAAUUACUGGGCGUAAAGCGCUCGUAGGCGGUAUGUCAAGUCAAGGGUGAAAUCCCCGCGCUCAACGUGGGAACUGCCUUUGAAACUGGCAAACUGGAGUGUGUGAGAGGAUAGUGGAAUUCCAGGUGUAGGAGUGAAAGCCGUAGAUAUCUGGAGGAACAUCAGUGGCGAAGGCGACUAUCUGGCACAUAACUGACGCUGAGGAGCGAAAGCGUGGGUAGCAAACAGGAUUAGAUACCCCGGUAGUC
This 465-nucleotide ribosomal RNA is filed under the name uncultured bacterium. RNAcentral describes it as "partial 16S ribosomal RNA". It matches the Rfam family "Bacterial small subunit ribosomal RNA", at positions 338 to 795 of the family's 1533-position model. The record is from RNAcentral.